This is a long non-coding RNA of Paramisgurnus dabryanus, 704 nucleotides long. RefSeq lists it as uncharacterized. NCBI's taxonomy places the organism in Eukaryota, Metazoa, Chordata, Actinopteri, Cypriniformes, Cobitidae. The record is from RefSeq and is a predicted model, not a curated record.
UCAAGAAAUGUUAUGUUUAUGUUUAUAACUGUAUGAUUACUUUAAUGUUGUAAUUUUACUUAGUUUGAGCCUAUAGAUCACUAUGGGUUAUUAAUUAUGUUCUUAAGGUAUAAAACAAUAAAUCACAAAAAAAAUGACUUGCUUUUCUGGACCUUUGUAGAAAAUGGCAGGAAUAAGGCCCAGGAGAUGUAAAAAAAAACCAGAAGAGGAGGCAGUAUAUUAUGCAUCAAUGUGUAAAGACAAUGCUGGAUUUGUAGCAAAAUAUAUCAAUUCAUUCAAAGGUCGGGGAGUGUUCACCACUUCUCACUUUCAUAGAGGAGAUUUUCUCCUUGAAUACCGAGGAGAGGUCAUAAAAAAAGAGGAAUAUGAAAGAAGACUCAAAUUAUAUGACAGUUCACUCGAAGUGUUUUUAUUUGAAUUCCGUUUUAAUGGAAAACAAUUAUGGGUUGAUGCUGCCAAAGAAGAUGGAUCUUUAGGACGUCUUGUGAAUGAUGAUCACGUGAACCCCAACAGCAAAUUGAAAAUUAUCACAGUGGACAAAAAGCCCCAUUUGUGUUUAUUUGCUAGAAAGGACAUUAGUCCUGGGGAAGAAAUCUGUUAUAACUAUGGGGAUUCUGAAUGGCCAUGGAGACACCAGGUAACUUCGGAGACUGAAGAACCUGCCUCAUUCGUCCGUGGAGAUGGGCAUAAAACAUCACAGCCGG